AACGAAUGCUGGCGGCAGGCCUUACACAUGCAAGUCGAACGUGAAAGUCCUUCGGGAUGAGUAAAGUGGCGCACGGGUGAGUAACGCGUGGGAACAUGCCCUUCAGUACGGGAUAACAGCGGGAAACUGCCGCUAAUACCGUACAUUCCCUACGGGGGAAAGAUUUAUCGCUGAAGGAUUGGCCCGCGUUAGAUUAGCUAGUUGGUGAGGUAAUGGCUCACCAAGGCUACGAUCUAUAGCCGGUCUGAGAGGACGAUCGGCCACACUGGAACUGAGACACGGUCCAGACUCCUACGGGAGGCAGCAGUGGGGAAUAUUGGACAAUGGGCGAAAGCCUGAUCCAGCCAUGCCGCGUGAGUGAUGAAGGCCUUAGGGUUGUAAAGCUCUUUUGGCGGGGAAGAUAAUGACGGUACCCGCAGAAUAAGCCCCGGCUAACUUCGUGCCAGCAGCCGCCGUAA
This 458-nucleotide ribosomal RNA is filed under the name uncultured bacterium. Its description in RNAcentral is "partial 16S ribosomal RNA". It matches the Rfam family "Bacterial small subunit ribosomal RNA", at positions 29 to 523 of the family's 1533-position model. The record is from RNAcentral.